GAUUCAGAGGAGAACUCACAAACAAGAGGUUGCCUUCUGUCCAGCCCUAGUAUGAGGCUUGCUGUAGGCUGUUAUGUAAGAGAAGGAUGAAGAAGAAAAGCACCUCUCAAGCUAAGAAAACUAAGACGUGGGGAAAUGAAGGUGGAGAUGGUUUUGCUCAGACAAACUUUAUUACCAGCACCAAUGAGGGGAACCGAGAAUUCUGAGCCACUGUAGCUGACAUCACAGAACUCCAGCUGCUCUGUGGACUGUAUCCUUUUCUACCUCUGUCCUUAAAAGCUAUUGGAGCCCUUAUUAAAAAAAAAAAAACUGCUGCUGUGUACUUAGAGAGCAACUCUUAUUUCGAGUGAUUCUUUUACCUGAUAAGGCAUUUGGAUAUUUAUUCCUCUAACUCGACUCCAAUCCCCCUAUCUUUUUCGUGUUUUCCCAGGUAAAGAGGAAAAAUCUCCAAUCCACUCCCAUCUGUUUGCCUCAUCCAGCAGAGCUUCCAGGCCACAGAAGGCUCAAGACUACAAUAUAAUUCCUGAGACUGCCAAGACCUUGGGUGCUGAUGGCUUCUCGUGGAUGAGGAGAAAACAACAGGACCACUGGAUUAGGGCUUGUUACAGCCCAACUCUCCCGCUUCUUGCUUCUUGCUUCUUGCUUCUUACUAAAUAAUGGAUCAAUGACUGCCCGGCAGAAUUAGCCUUUCAAUUGACUUUUGUCUUUCGCCCAUCAUUUUCAAAGCUCAUCUCCCAUGGGGAAGACUGAAAGAAGGAGUCUACACUGAGGGAACAGAAGUCCUCUUGUGGCUUGAGGUUGCUUUAUUCUACUGCCCAAGGAAGGACAACAGGGACCCCUGUGCACUUCGCUUGGUUAUGACAAAAUUUCCAUUCUUCUAGCCUUUGUUUUGUCCCAUGGUAGCCUAUAUAUCAUAUCUAUAGAGCAUAGAGGCAUAAGCCCCCCCUUUGCUGUAAUUGGCCUAAAAGUCUUCACAUGAAGAGCCAUCAGCUCAUAUUUGCAUGCUCCAUUUACUCCAAUAAUGUCUUCCACAUUAUUGUUUUACAAUUAAUUUCAUAAUUAAUAAGGUUGCAAUUUAGAAUCCUUAUAAAAGUACAGGGAGAGGUUUAGAGAUGAAACUGUUCAAAACAGUACCGUAUGUAUUUUAGCUUCACUGGAGCAAAGAGGAAAUUGCCUGUUUCUUCCAGCUUGUUUCAGUGUCCUAGGGCAGGGGCAGAAUGUAAGUGAUCACGAAGUGCUUUUGCUUAUUGCCACUUGGAAACUGGCAAUACUGCUGUGAAGAGAUGAAUAUCAGUUCCAAGCAAGAGGCUGGGUAGUUUCCUUCUGUAAUCCCACACCAGUGUGUGAGUCAGAGUUAGAACCAGAAUCGUUCUAAAGGCGAAUUUGUGCAUCUGAAGCAACCUCAUGUUAUACCCAUUUGGUGAUUCAUGACAGAGAUGGAGUCUCAUUAAUAAGGAUUAUUUAUCCAAAGCCUUACUAAAAGCAUGUGAAACAGCUUUAAGACAGGACCUCAGGUAGCCCAGGCUAUUGUGGAGCUCACUCUGUGGCCAAUCAAGAUCUCCUAAUUUUCCUGUCUCAGCUCCCAAAUGCUGACACUUUAGAUAUGCAACACCAUGUUCAGGUUGAAAAACAAAAUCUUAUUAAAUAAAUUACUUAUGUCGAAAUCUCA
This 1669-nucleotide long non-coding RNA is filed under the name Mus musculus (house mouse). RNAcentral describes it as "RIKEN cDNA D830026I12 gene". Lineage: Eukaryota; Metazoa; Chordata; Mammalia; Rodentia; Muridae. The record is from RNAcentral.